CCGCCCUGCCAGCUCCGAAGCCCGUGUCCUUGUCCUAAGCUCACCUCUCCUCCCUUUUCUGCCCCCAGCUGGCCCCAGGCAGAGGAGCAGAGACAGAAAGUGCAUGAGAUUGAACUUGGCAGGAUCUUUCUGGAAGCUGUGCUGAGGAUGGGGAGGACAGGAAGAAGCAGCUGGGGAGAAUUUGGUGAGCCUGACCCCUGCAGUAGGGCAGGUGCAAUGCUGCUGAGGAAAAUGAAGCUGAUCCUCGGGCUUCUGCUGUCCAUGGCAUGGCCCAUGCUCCAUGCAAACAUCACCCUGACUGGGAAACAAAGGCUGAGCAAUCGCUACUUGCUCAUUUCCAAGCAGUGCCAUAAGUUCUGCCCAUUUUUGGAAUACUAUUACCAAAAGUUUUCACAUGAGAAAGAAGGUCCAAAUGCAUUUGUCUAUUCCCAUUGUUGUGCUGAGAAUUUAUGCAAUGUUGGCAUCCCCUCCAUCUCUGAGAGUGACACAGACAUCUAUAGCCAAUAUACUGUUCAAGGCAUUGCUCACCUCAGGGCCAGCAAUAUGGGGCUGGUGAUAUUUCUAAGCUUCCUGCCUGUCCUGCUCCAGGUUAGGAAGACUCUCUGUCUGCUGUGACAUUGGACUGUAUUUUCCAGAAGCCCAUGCAAGUUGGUUGGCCCCUGGAGACUUCCUCUGCCUAGAAAAAUCGGUCUCUAAGAAGCCUCUACUGCAAAAAAAAAAAAAAAAGUAAUAAAUGUGCUACUUAAGGGUUAAAAAAAGUCA
Molecule: long non-coding RNA, 762 nt
Filed under: Phascolarctos cinereus (koala)
Lineage: Eukaryota; Metazoa; Chordata; Mammalia; Diprotodontia; Phascolarctidae
Description: lncRNA (ENSPCIG00000029503.2)
Source: RNAcentral